UGAGCUGGCCAGGCGACCGCGUGGCUCCCUCGGGGGCCCCGAGGAACGUCCGGGCUCCGUAGAGCAGGGUGAUGGCUAACGGCCACCCGGGGUGACCCGCGGGACAGUGCCACAGAGAGAAGACCGCCACGUUCCUUCGGGGGCGGGGUAAGGGUGAAAGGGUGAGGUAAGAGCUCACCGCGCGACUGGUGACAGGAGCGGCAAGGUAAACCCCACCCGGAGCAAGACCAGACAGCAUGCGUUCGAGGGCUGCUCGCCCGAGCAUGCGGGUAGGUUGCUUGAGCGCUGGAGCAAUCCAGGGCCUAGAUGGAUGGUCGCCCCUCGUUCCCGGUGACGGGUGCGAGAGACAGAACCCGGCGUAUCGGCCAGCUCAUCCG
This 377-nucleotide RNase P RNA is filed under the name Demequina mangrovi. RNAcentral describes it as "Demequinaceae bacterium HI08-69 Bacterial RNase P class A". It matches the Rfam family "Bacterial RNase P class A". From Rfam's summary of the family: Ribonuclease P (RNase P) is a ubiquitous endoribonuclease, found in archaea, bacteria and eukarya as well as chloroplasts and mitochondria. Its best characterised activity is the generation of mature 5'-ends of tRNAs by cleaving the 5'-leader elements of precursor-tRNAs. Cellular RNase Ps are ribonucleoproteins. The record is from Rfam by way of RNAcentral. Lineage: Bacteria; Bacillati; Actinomycetota; Actinomycetes; Micrococcales; Demequinaceae.